CCUAGAUUCUCAGUUUUCCCAAUCUCUGUUAAUUCUCCGCAGCCUUGUCUUUGUUUGGGACGAGUAGGGUUUGGUUCAGAGGUUCGGUUUGUUCUCACCAUGAGGGCUAAGUGGAAGAAGAAGCGUAUGAGGAGGCUGAAGAGGAAGCGCCGAAAGAUGAGACAAAGAUCCAAGUAGUUUGUGUUCCCCUAACAACAAUUGCUUCUAGUUUUGUUUUCAUUUCGUAUUGUUUUUAUUUCGAAUUGGACUCCUAAGUAAGAGAGUAGUACCUGUCUCUCUCUUUUUUUUUUAAAUGUUAUGUUACGUUUUUAUUGGUUUC
Long non-coding RNA from Gastrolobium bilobum, 319 nucleotides. RefSeq lists it as uncharacterized. The transcript has 2 exons. Lineage: Eukaryota; Viridiplantae; Streptophyta; Magnoliopsida; Fabales; Fabaceae. The record is from RefSeq and is a predicted model, not a curated record.